CGCAUUAACCGUGACGUCUCUGCCAUCUAGUGAGCUGGAAGAUGAACUGCUCCUCGACAACGACACCAAAAGUAAUAACAAGUCUAAGAGGAGGACGAAGCCAAAUACGUGGAUGAAGCACUCAGCGAGGUGAUGUCUGUGCUGUGCCUUUAUGGAGCUCUGCACUGCUUGGUAAUUCUGGCAGUGUCGCAGGCAAAAUCCUUAGCAAAAGUUUGAAGCUCUAUGAGACCAGCAGCAGAUGCCAGCAGAUGCGACA
Molecule: long non-coding RNA, 256 nt
Organism: Cyprinus carpio (common carp)
Lineage: Eukaryota; Metazoa; Chordata; Actinopteri; Cypriniformes; Cyprinidae
Source: RefSeq, a predicted model, not a curated record